Molecule: long non-coding RNA, 1100 nt
Organism: Cyprinus carpio (common carp)
Lineage: Eukaryota; Metazoa; Chordata; Actinopteri; Cypriniformes; Cyprinidae
Source: Ensembl
CAGAAACGUUGUAUGUUAAUAUAUGCUACUGUAAAAUGUAGUAAAGUUGGUAGUUUUGCCACUUUUAGUUACUUCUAUUCACCACCACUGGAAGGAAGUUAGCUUAAAGAACAGUGUCUCCCCUCCCGGCGGAGCAUCAGAUAUCGAAGCAGACUGCAACACUAUCCACCUGAAGCACUGCUGAGACAGCAGCCACCUCCACCAAACACUCCAGCACCCCACUCCCUUUCUCUGACGCCUCCAUCAAUAUCUGCACAAAAACAAAGCACAGGAAACUCUCCUUACAGAGAGGAAGCCACCUGUGAUCAUUAAUUUUUUCACGUGUUAAUAGUUUAGCAGAAUGUGGAGAAGCCUUGGAUCUAAAUCUGUGGUCUGUGGUAUAAAGCACAACCUGUAGGUGGAUCGAAUCAAUACACAAGUGGUGUGCAUACAUUAAGAUUGAACCUAUGCAGGUGGACUGGCUUUAAGAGACAGUUCACCCAAAGAAAUGAAAAUUUGCUGUUAAUUUACCCACCCUCAGGCAUUCCAAGAUGUAGGUGAGUUAUUUUAUUUUAUUUGUUCUUUAGUAGAACAGUAAAGAAGAUUUUACAUCUUUAGCCAAUAUAUCACAAAUAUCAAUAUACAGUGUAUAUGAUCCUAUGAUGCUGUUUUUUGCCAGCAUCUGGCAUUUUUUUUGUAGUGCUCCAGUUACUACAACAGUCAAUGAACAAAACAGUUCAUAUUCAUACUGAAGAACUGAUGAGCAUGCGUGAACAGGCACUUAAUGGAGUGAAAUGAUAGGUCUUUCUUUCUAAUGGUUUAUGUAAAAAGUUUGGAGUGAAGAGCACUGCAGAUAAGUAUGGACUUGUGUUGCACUUCGGCCUGAUUGUUUCCCUCCCCCUUCGAUAUCCCAUAAUGCACAGGGGGUCACAUCAGUUCCGGAGCAGCGGUGCUUCAGCGUCUGCGUGUGAAGGACUCUCUGUGCUGGAAGUGUUUUUGUGCGUGCGCUGGGUAAGAUGAUUGCAGGCGAGCACAAGUGUUUGGUGUCAGUCUCUGUUACAAGGAGAUGAUGGGAAAGAGUUGAGACUGAGUCACUUUCUGUUAAUGCAUUGGGCCACGUG